GUGCCGGGGGCCAGGCGGGGUGAGCGGCGCCCCGCCAGGUGUGUGUAGCCUGCUGGCCUUGCCAGAGGGACCAGGGGCGGGGGGCAGCAGGCCCGGCGGCGAGCCGGCAGACCUGCUCAGCCGUGAUUAUGUGCAGAGCUGACUCCCUCCCUCUCUCCCUCGGUCUCGUCCGCUGCUGAGCGAGGUGUCAAAGGAGCGAGGAGAGCUGUGCGGGCCGGGAGGCGUUCAUCCGGAGAGGGAAUUUGAAACGAUGUUCCAUAGCCCUCAUUCAGGCGAGGAGAGUGUUGGUGCCACGCUCUGUUUGACAGGCAGCCUUCAAACUCUCGCCCGGCUUUUUAUUUUUAAUCUCUGUCAGGAUGCCGCAGUUCGAGAGCCGUGAGUCAGUGUGAAUCCGAGCGCUGCUCCCGUGUGGGCUGCUGGAAAGGAGGUCCCCGCCGCAGAUGCCUCGGGCGGAAGCAGCUGCAGCACUUUCACUUCAAGGCUGUGAGCGUGACACUGGGGUGACUGCAACAGGCUGAGCAGUGCUCCUGCCGCAUGCUGUCCCUAUGCCGCGGUGAAAAACAGCCACAGUAAAAACAGGAUGCAGAAGGAAAUAGGAAAGGUAUCAAGCAAGAAGAACACUUUGCUUUAGAGAAGACUGCAUUAGGAAAUAAAUAUUCGGGAUACCUUUCAAGUCUCAGGCCAGAAAACCUGCUUGAGUUUCUCUCAAAACGGAAUGCUCUGCUGCAUCAUCCUAUGUAGCAAUCUGUGUGGAUUGUUUGUGUUUUUGUGGGUUUUAAGUUUUGUUGUUGUAAUUUGUUUUUUUUUUCCUGAACCAGAAACGAGGAUUGUAGAAAGAUGUCUCUUCAUGCAUUUUUCUGAUAAAACAAAAUGCCUGAAAACAA
Long non-coding RNA from Parus major (Great Tit), 884 nucleotides. RefSeq lists it as uncharacterized. The transcript is spliced from 2 exons. The record is from RefSeq and is a predicted model, not a curated record. Lineage: Eukaryota; Metazoa; Chordata; Aves; Passeriformes; Paridae.